CCGCUUCAUACCCACACUUCAUCCUCCUCAGUUUCUCUCCAGGCCACCAUGUCUGCAGGCAACGGCACCCCUUGGGAUGCCACCUGGAAUAUCACUGUUCAAUGGCUGGCUGUGGACAUCCCAUGUCGGACACUCAUGUUCCUGAAACUAAUGGCCACGUAUUCUGCAGCUUUCCUGCCUGUGGUCAUUGGAUUGGACCGCCAGGCAGCAGUACUCAACCCGCUUGGAUCCCGUUCAGGUGUAAGGAAACUUCUGGGGGCAGCUUGGGGACUUAGUUUCCUGCUUGCCUUGCCCCAGCUGUUCCUGUUCCACACCGUCCACUGAGCUGGCCCAGUCCCUUUCACUCAGUGUGUCACCAAAGGCAGCUUCAAGGCUCAAUGGCAAGAGACCACCUAUAACCUCUUCACCUUCUGCUGCCCCUUUCUGCUGCCACUGACUGUCAUGGCCAUCUGCUAUAGCCGCAUUGUCCUCAGUGUGUCCAGCCCCCAGACAAGGAAGGGGAGCCAUGCCCCUGCUGGUGAAUUUGCCCUCCCCCGCUCCUUUGACAAUUGUCCCCAUGUUCGUCUCCGGGCCCUGAGACUGGCCCUGCUUAUCUUGCUGACCUUCAUCCUCUGCUGGACACCUUAUUACCUACUGGGUAUGUGGUACUGGUUCUCCCCCACCAUGCUAACUGAAGUCCCUCCCAGCCUGAGCCACAUCCUUUUCCUCUUGGGCCUCCUCAAUGCUCCUUUGGAUCCUCUCCUCUAUGGGGCCUUCACCUUUGGCUGCCGAAGAGGGCACCAAGAACUUAGUAUAGACUCUUCUAAAGAAGGGUCUGGGAGAAUGCUCCAAGAGGAGAUUCAUGCCUUUAGACAGCUGGACGUACAAAAAACUGUGACAUCAAGAAGGGCAGGAGAAACAAAAGGCAUUUCUAUAACAUCUAUCUGAUCCUAAGAGUAUGUAGGAACAGAAUAGUAAGUCUUUAGUGCCAUAAGAUCUUAACAUCUCACUUCUACUCCUGCUCUCCUAGUUCCCCCCAAAAAAGAAAUACUGA
Molecule: small RNA, 1033 nt
Filed under: Pan troglodytes (chimpanzee)
Lineage: Eukaryota; Metazoa; Chordata; Mammalia; Primates; Hominidae
Description: processed transcript
Source: RNAcentral